Molecule: ribosomal RNA, 499 nt
Filed under: uncultured bacterium
Lineage: Bacteria
Description: partial 16S ribosomal RNA
Rfam family: Bacterial small subunit ribosomal RNA
Source: RNAcentral
GACGAACGCUGGCGGCGUGCCUAAUACAUGCAAGUCGAGCGAAGUUUUUCUGGUGCUUGCACCGGAAAAACUUAGCGGCGAACGGGUGAGUAACACGUAAAGAACCUGCCUCAUAGACUGGGACAACUAUUGGAAACGAUAGCUAAUACCGGAUAAUAGCAUUAACUGCAUGGUUGAUGUUUAAAAGUUGGUUUUGCUAACACUAUGAGAUGGCUUUGCGGUGCAUUAGCUAGUUGGUGGGGUAAAGGCCUACCAAGGCGACGAUGCAUAGCCGACCUGAGAGGGUGAUCGGCCACACUGGGACUGAGACACGGCCCAGACUCCUACGGGAGGCAGCAGUAGGGAAUCUUCCGCAAUAGGCGAAAGCCUGACGGAGCAACGCCGCGUGAGUGAAGAAGGAUUUCGGUUCGUAAAGCUCUGUUGUUAGGGAAGAAUGAUUGUGUAGUAACUAUACACAGUAGAGACGGUACCUAACCAGAAAGCCACGGCUAACUACGUG